RNAcentral lists this transfer RNA (62 nucleotides) under Nanostrea pinnicola. RNAcentral's name for it is "tRNA-Cys". The record is from RNAcentral. Lineage: Eukaryota; Metazoa; Mollusca; Bivalvia; Ostreida; Ostreidae.
CACGGGGUAGUUUAAUAUAAAACAAAGAAUUGCAAAUUCUUAAAUGCCAACAGCUCUCGUGU